RNAcentral lists this ribosomal RNA (332 nucleotides) under uncultured bacterium. RNAcentral describes it as "bacterial SSU rRNA". It matches the Rfam family "Bacterial small subunit ribosomal RNA", at positions 30 to 362 of the family's 1533-position model. The record is from RNAcentral.
AUUGAACGCUGGCGGCAUGCUUUAUACAUGCAAGUCGUGCGGCAGCGCGGGGGCAACCCUGGCGGCGAGCGGCGAACGGGUGAGUAAUACAUAGGAACGUAUCCUGAAAUGGGGGAUAGCUCGGCGAAAGCCGGAUUAAUACCGCAUACGCUCCACGGAGGAAAGCAGGGGAUCGCAAGACCUUGCGUUUCUGGAGCGGCCUAUGUCUGAUUAGCUAGUUGGCGGGGUAAUAGCCCACCAAGGCGACGAUCAGUAGCUGGUCUGAGAGGAUGAUCAGCCACACUGGGACUGAGACACGGCCCAGACUCCUACGGGAGGCAGCAGUAGGGUAA